GCCACUUUGCCUGAGUCCGGUCGAUAGGAACUGCCUUGUAAGCAGUCGGGAUAAUACCCCAUCGCAGGUUCAAAUCCUGUGGGUGGCACCA
Molecule: transfer RNA, 91 nt
Filed under: Xanthomonas phage XacN1
Lineage: Duplodnaviria; Heunggongvirae; Uroviricota; Caudoviricetes
Description: tRNA-Thr
Rfam family: tRNA
About the family: Transfer RNA (tRNA) molecules are approximately 80 nucleotides in length. Their secondary structure includes four short double-helical elements and three loops (D, anti-codon, and T loops).
Source: RNAcentral